GAUUGAACGCUGGCGGCAGGCCUAACACAUGCAAGUCGAACGGUAACAGGAAACAGCUUGCUGUUUCGCUGACGAGUGGCGGACGGGUGAGUAAUGUCUGGGAAACUGCCUGAUGGAGGGGGAUAACUACUGGAAACGGUAGCUAAUACCGCAUAACGUCGCAAGACCAAAGAGGGGGACCUUCGGGCCUCUUGCCAUCGGAUGUGCCCAGAUGGGAUUAGCUAGUAGGUGGGGUAACGGCUCACCUAGGCGACGAUCCCUAGCUGGUCUGAGAGGAUGACCAGCCACACUGGAACUGAGACACGGUCCAGACUCCUACGGGAGGCAGCAGUGGGGAAUAUUGCACAAUGGGCGCAAGCCUGAUGCAGCCAUGCCGCGUGUAUGAAGAAGGCCUUCGGGUUGUAAAGUACUUUCAGCGGGGAGGAAGGGAGUAAAGUUAAUACCUUGGCCCAUUGACGUUACCCGCAGAAGAAGCACCGGCUAACUCCGUG
Molecule: ribosomal RNA, 491 nt
Filed under: uncultured bacterium
Lineage: Bacteria
Description: partial 16S ribosomal RNA
Rfam family: Bacterial small subunit ribosomal RNA
Source: RNAcentral